This 1151-nucleotide ribosomal RNA is filed under the name Escherichia coli. RNAcentral's name for it is "partial 23S ribosomal RNA". It matches the Rfam family "Bacterial large subunit ribosomal RNA", at positions 1 to 1191 of the family's 2925-position model. The record is from RNAcentral. Lineage: Bacteria; Pseudomonadati; Pseudomonadota; Gammaproteobacteria; Enterobacterales; Enterobacteriaceae.
GGUUAAGCGACUAAGCGUACACGGUGGAUGCCCUGGCAGUCAGAGGCGAUGAAGGACGUGCUAAUCUGCGAUAAGCGUCGGUAAGGUGAUAUGAACCGUUAUAACCGGCGAUUUCCGAAUGGGGAAACCCAGUGUGAUUCGUCACACUAUCAUUAACUGAAUCCAUAGGUUAAUGAGGCGAACCGGGGGAACUGAAACAUCUAAGUACCCCGAGGAAAAGAAAUCAACCGAGAUUCCCCCAGUAGCGGCGAGCGAACGGGGAGGAGCCCAGAGCCUGAAUCAGUAUGUGUGUUAGUGGAAGCGUCUGGAAAGGCGCGCGAUACAGGGUGACAGCCCCGUACACAAAAAUGCACAUGCUGUGAGCUCGAUGAGUAGGGCGGGACACGUGGUAUCCUGUCUGAAUAUGGGGGGACCAUCCUCCAAGGCUAAAUACUCCUGACUGACCGAUAGUGAACCAGUACCGUGAGGGAAAGGCGAAAAGAACCCCGGCGAGGGGAGUGAAAAAGAACCUGAAACCGUGUACGUACAAGCAGUGGGAGCACAGAGCAAUCUGUGUGACUGCGUACCUUUUGUAUAAUGGGUCAGCGACUUAUAUUCUGUAGCAAGGUUAACCGAAUAGGGGAGCCGAAGGGAAACCGAGUCUUAACUGGGCGUUAAGUUGCAGGGUAUAGACCCGAAACCCGGUGAUCUAGCCAUGGGCAGGUUGAAGGUUGGGUAACACUAACUGGAGGACCGAACCGACUAAUGUUGAAAAAUUAGCGGAUGACUUGUGGCUGGGGGUGAAAGGCCAAUCAAACCGGGAGAUAGCUGGUUCUCCCCGAAAGCUAUUUAGGUAGCGCCUCGUGAAUUCAUCUCCGGGGGUAGAGCACUGUUUCGGCAAGGGGGUCAUCCCGACUUACCAACCCGAUGCAAACUGCGAAUACCGGAGAAUGUUAUCACGGGAGACACACGGCGGGUGCUAACGUCCGUCGUGAAGAGGGAAACAACCCAGACCGCCAGCUAAGGUCCCAAAGUCAUGGUUAAGUGGGAAACGAUGUGGGAAGGCCCAGACAGCCAGGAUGUUGGCUUAGAAGCAGCCAUCAUUUAAAGAAAGCGUAAUAGCUCACUGGUCGAGUCGGCCUGCGCGGAAGAUGUAACGGGGCUAAACCAUG